This is a long non-coding RNA of Acinonyx jubatus (cheetah), 2423 nucleotides long. RefSeq lists it as uncharacterized. The transcript has 2 exons. The record is from RefSeq and is a predicted model, not a curated record. NCBI's taxonomy places the organism in Eukaryota, Metazoa, Chordata, Mammalia, Carnivora, Felidae.
UUUUUUUUUUUUUAAAGUAGGCUCUGUGCUCAACCUCAACAUGGGCUUGAACUCGUAAUCUCUAGAUCAAGAGCCCCGUGUACUACCAACUGAGUCAUCCGGGCACCCCUCCUUUACCCAUUUUAAAAUUGUGUUAUUUGGGGCCCUGGGUGGCUCAGUCAGUGGAGUGUGUGACUCCAUCUCAGGGUUGUGGGUUCAAGCCCUAUGUUAGGUGUGGAGAUUACUUAAAAAUAAAAUCUUAAAUAAAUUGUUAUUUAUGUUUAUUUUUAUUUUUUUUAGUUUUUUAAGGUUAAUUUAUUUUUGACCGAGUGAGACACAGAGCAUGAGCUGGGGAGGGGCAGAGAGAGAGGGAGACACAGAAUCUGAAACAGGCUCCAGGCUCUGAGCUGUCAGCCCAGAGCCUGACGUGGGGCUCGAACUCACAGACCGCGAGAUCAUGACCUGAGCCGAAGUCAGAUGCUCGACCGACUGAGCCGCCCAGGUGCCCCUAUUUAUGUUUUUGUUCUUGAGAUUUAAGGUUUUUUAUUUAACCUGGAUACAAAUCCCUUAUCAUGUAUAUGAUCUGCAAAUAAUUUCUCCCAUUCUGUGGAUUGUCUUUUCACUUUCUUAGUGUUUUUUCUUUUAUUUUUUUAAAUUGCGGUACACUACACGUAAACUUACCACCUUAACCAUUUUUAAGCGUACAUAGUUCCUUGGCAUUCAGUAUUGUCACACUGUUGUGUAGCCAUCACCACCGUCCGUCUCCAGUAUUCUUGUCAUCUUGCAAAACUGAACAUUGAAUGUAACCCCCAACCUUCCUACCUCCUAGCCCCUGUCAACUACCAUUCUACUUUGUGUCUUUGAAUUUGACUGCUCUGUGCACCUCACUAAGGGAAUUAUACGGUUGUCCUUUUGUGACUGGCUUAUUUCACUUAACAUAAUGUCUUCAAGCACAUACUGUAGCAUGUAAUAGAAUGUGCUUUUUUAAAUGCUGAAUAAUAAUCCCUUGCGUGUAUAUACCCCAUUUCCAUUCAUCUGCCAAGGGACACUUGGGUUGCGCCCAGUUUUUGCUACUGUGAAUAAUGCUGCCAUGAACGGGGAUUGUAGAGGGGAUAGUGGUGUUCUUUGAAUUACGAGUUUUAAGAAGUUUUUGAUGGGAUCCAAUUUAUGUUUUUUUUUCUUUUGUUGCUUAUACGCUUGGUGUUGUGUCUAAGAAACUAUUGCCUAUUCCAAGGUCGCAAGGAUCCCUACUUGUGUUUUCUUCUACGAGUUGAAUGGCAUUAGUUCUUACAUUGAGGUGUUUGACCUUUUGAGUGAAGCCAUAUUCAUGUUUUGUGGACUGGUGGCUCUCAGCGUGUCCUCCGGUGGUUCGGUCUGCUUCGGUUACGCUGCGAGGUUGGCGCUUAAAAGCCUGUGGCAGGGAGCCCUUCACCCCGGUGCUGCCUCCCCCGCCUCCUCCUCCUCCGUGGACUCCCAGCCGCCCUCUCUUGGCCCCAGAGGACAAAGACUCGGGCAGUUAAUUAAUUUGCAUCCUCUUCAUUUUUCCUUAUUCAUCAUAAUGGCUUCAUUCUUUCUCACUGAUCUAUCUCCACAGCGUAAUUUAUGUCAGGCAGAGAAGUCCCCCUCAGCAAGCCUCUUUGGGAAUCGGAAGUCACACCUGUGUGGCGGCAUUGUCCCUUUUGUUCUCUUCUGAACCACACUCUAGCUGAAUGCUGUGUGCCGGGAGGGGAGCUUAGUGUGGUAUCUCCAGGCAGUUUCCCUCCCAUUUAAGAAAUUUGAAAGAUUUAAACACAUAAAAUGACAGAGUGGUGUUGCCAAAGCGUGUAGCCUUCACAGUACCUCAAGGAAAAAUAAGAUUGUUUUAGGCCCUUUUCUUGUUUACCAGACCAAUCAUUAGAUGACAAGCCUUUUCCUGGUUUUUCUAGUAUUGUCAAGUAAGUUUUGCUCUUUAGUAGGAACGAAAACAAAACAGCCCAGACUGUUUUGAAGGAUUCCCCUUGCCUUGGGUGUGUAUAAACUACAUGCAGAUUUUCGGUAUAAUCAGAGAAUCUCAGGGUUUCAGUUCCCCUUGCUGUUAAAUUAAUAGUGCUUGAAUUCCUAGAACAAAAUGCCUAGCAUUUUGGGAGGUCUGGGGUUCCUGGUUCACCUAAUUAUGUUUCAAAACCCCCUUCUCUUAAUUUUUGGAGGUAGAAAGGUAGGAGGUAUUACCAGUUUUUAAAACAAAUUUUUUUUAAUGUUUAUUUUCUAGAGAGAGCACAAGCCGGGGAGGGGCAGAGGGCAAAGGGACAGAGGAUCCAAAGUGGGCUCCAUACUGACAGCAGUGAGUCCGAUAUGGGGCUCGAACUCAUGAACUGUGAGAUCAUGACCUGAGCCGUAGUCCGAUGUUCAACCCACUGAGCCACCCAGGAACCCUACUGUUAUCAGGUUUAAAAAAAAAACAAAAA